UGGGGAAUCUUCCGCAAUGGACGAAAGUCUGACGGAGCAACGCCGCGUGAGUGAUGACGGCCUUCGGGUUGUAAAGCUCUGUUAAUCGGGACGAAUGGUUCUUGUGCGAAUAGUGCGAGGAUUUGACGGUACCGGAAUAGAAAGCCACGGCUAACUACGUGCCAGCAGCCGCGGUAAUACGUAGGUGGCAAGCGUUGUCCGGAAUUAUUGGGCGUAAAGCGCGCGCAGGCGGAUUGGUAAGUCUGUCUUAAAAGUUCGGGGCUUAACCCCGUGAUGGGAUGGAAACUGCCAAUCUAGAGUAUCGGAGAGGAAAGUGGAAUUCCUAGUGUAGCGGUGAAAUGCGUAGAUAUUAGGAAGAACACCAGUGGCGAAGGCGACUUUCUGGACGAAAACUGACGCUGAGGCGCGAAAGCCAGGGGAGCGAACGGG
This 429-nucleotide ribosomal RNA is filed under the name bacterium. RNAcentral's name for it is "partial 16S ribosomal RNA". It matches the Rfam family "Bacterial small subunit ribosomal RNA", at positions 355 to 776 of the family's 1533-position model. The record is from RNAcentral.